RNAcentral lists this ribosomal RNA (453 nucleotides) under uncultured bacterium. Its description in RNAcentral is "bacterial SSU rRNA". It matches the Rfam family "Bacterial small subunit ribosomal RNA", at positions 340 to 786 of the family's 1533-position model. The record is from RNAcentral.
UACGGGAGGCAGCAGUGGGGAAUAUUGCACAAUGGGCGCAAGCCUGAUGCAGCCAUGCCGCGUGUAUGAAGAAGGCCUUCGGGUUGUAAAGUACUUUCAGUCGUGAGGAAGGUGUUAAGGUUAAUAACCUUAGCAAUUGACGUUAGCGACAGAAGAAGCACCGGCUAACUCCGUGCCAGCAGCCGCGGUAAUACGGAGGGUGCGAGCGUUAAUCGGAAUUACUGGGCGUAAAGGGCACGCAGGCGGUUAAUUAAGUUGGAUGUGAAAUCCCCGGGCUUAACCUGGGAAUGGCAUUCAAGACUGGUUAGCUAGAGUCUUGUAGAGGGGGUAGAAUUCCAUGUGUAGCGGUGAAAUGCGUAGAGAUGUGGAGGAAUACCGGUGGCGAAGGCGGCCCCUGGCAAAGGACUGACGCUCAUGUGCGAAAGCGUGGGGAGCAAACAGGGAUUAGAUACC